UACGUAGGGGGCUAGCGUUGUCCGGAAUCAUUGGGCGUAAAGCGCGUGUAGGCGGUCCGGUAAGUCCGCCGUGAAAGUCGGGGGCUCAACCCUCGAAUGCCGGUGGAUACUGUCGGGCUAGAGUGCGGAAGAGGCGAGUGGAAUUCCUGGUGUAGCGGUGAAAUGCGCAGAUAUCAGGAGGAACACCAAUUGCGAAGGCAGCUCGCUGGGACGUAACUGACGCUGAGACGCGAAAGCGUGGGGAGCAAACAGG
This 253-nucleotide ribosomal RNA is filed under the name uncultured bacterium. RNAcentral's name for it is "partial 16S ribosomal RNA". It matches the Rfam family "Bacterial small subunit ribosomal RNA", at positions 524 to 776 of the family's 1533-position model. The record is from RNAcentral.